Molecule: non-coding RNA, 87 nt
Organism: Staphylotrichum tortipilum
Lineage: Eukaryota; Fungi; Ascomycota; Sordariomycetes; Sordariales; Chaetomiaceae
Source: the annotation of a GenBank genome assembly
GCCGGCGUGGCGCAAUUGGUUAGCGCGUCAGACUUUUACUACAAAAAGUAGAUCUGAAUGUUGCGAGUUCGAGUCUCGCCGUUGGCG